RNAcentral lists this long non-coding RNA (1158 nucleotides) under Apteryx haastii (Great spotted kiwi). RNAcentral describes it as "lncRNA (ENSAHAG00000019011.1)". Lineage: Eukaryota; Metazoa; Chordata; Aves; Apterygiformes; Apterygidae. The record is from RNAcentral.
AUGCAUCCCAUCCACGCUUCUCAACCACACAUCCCAGCCACGCAUCCCAACCACACAUCCCAACAAUGCAUCCCAACCAAUCACGCAUCCCAUCCACGCAUCCCAACCACACAUCCCAACCACGCAUCCCAUCCACUCAUCCCAACCAUGCAUCCCAUCCAUGCAACCCAACCACGCAUCCCAACCACCCAUUCUAACCACCUAUCCCAACCACCCAUCCCAACCACUCAUCCCAUCCACUCAUCCCAACCACACACCCAAGCACACAUCUCAACAGCGCAUCCCAACCACACAUCCCAACCACACAUCCCAUCCACGCAUCCCAAACACACAUCCCAUCCACGCAUCCCAACCACACAUCCCAAUCACGCAUCCCAUCCACACAUCCCAACCACGCAUCCCAAGCACACAUCCCAACCACGCAUCCGAAGCACACAUCCCAACCACACAUCCCAACCAACCACUCAUCCCAACAACGCCUCCCAACCACGCAUCCCGCCUGCAAAGCCUUUGGCUACCCGCAGUUUUGUUUUCCAGCUAGUUCUCCAGGCAAAGGCAGGUGAUGGCUGCGGGCGCUGCCGUUCGGUGACCGCUCUGCUGAGGUCAAAACUGUUAGAACACGUACGUUUGAGACGUGCCAUUGCUGAGGAUUUGGGGUAUCGCUGUCGUGACGCUUGGCCGCGCUGCCCCUCGCCGUGGGGCCGCUGCUGGUCUAGCCCGAGCUUUGCACCCGCGCUUCGGCGGUGGCCUCUGCACUGCAUUUCCAAAAGACCCUCGAAGCUCCUGCAGCCAGCUCUCCUCUUCCAGCGUGGUGGCCCGUGGUGGCCGUGCCCCUCGCUGCUGGCACCACAGAAGAAGCUAAAGGGCUUCCGUGAAACCUCCCGCCUCUCCCCAAACUCCCUAACGCCGCAGGUUGUGAGACGAGGCCGGGGGGAGCCCAACGGUUUGGCCUCUCCACCCAAGGUGCCCAAGUCUUCAUCUCGCCUUGCUGCUCCCGGGCACGGGCGCCCCCGUAACCACCCUCCGCCCGCCCCACGCUGGGACACCCCCGGGAGGACGCGUUUUCCCCCCCCAUCCGGCCGCCCUAGCGGACGCCCCCGGGCAUCGCUUGGGAAACCGGCUCCGACGCCGGCCGAGGGGACUUCCGUAGCGCCCUGA